UACGGAGAGUGCAAACGUUGUUCGGAUUCACUGGGCGUAAAGGGCACGUAGGCGGCUCGGCAAAUCGGUCGUGGAAUCUCGACGCUUACCGUCGAAACGGCGGCCGAAAAUACCGGGCUCGAGGGCGUGAGGGGUCACUGGAACUCCUGGUGAAGCGGUGAAAUGCGUAGAUAUCAUUUGGAACGCCAAUGAUGAAAACAGGUAGCUGGGGCUGUGCUGACACUGAGACACGAAAGCCAGGGGAGCAAACGGG
Molecule: ribosomal RNA, 253 nt
Filed under: uncultured bacterium
Lineage: Bacteria
Description: partial 16S ribosomal RNA
Rfam family: Bacterial small subunit ribosomal RNA
Source: RNAcentral